Molecule: ribosomal RNA, 1400 nt
Filed under: Staphylococcus sp.
Lineage: Bacteria; Bacillati; Bacillota; Bacilli; Caryophanales; Staphylococcaceae
Description: bacterial SSU rRNA
Rfam family: Bacterial small subunit ribosomal RNA
Source: RNAcentral
GAGCGAACAGAUAAGGAGCUUGCUCCUUUGACGUUAGCGGCGGACGGGUGAGUAACACGUGGGUAACCUACCUAUAAGACUGGGAUAACUUCGGGAAACCGGAGCUAAUACCGGAUAACAUUUGGAACCGCAUGGUUCUAAAGUGAAAGAUGGUUUUGCUAUCACUUAUAGAUGGACCCGCGCCGUAUUAGCUAGUUGGUAAGGUAACGGCUUACCAAGGCGACGAUACGUAGCCGACCUGAGAGGGUGAUCGGCCACACUGGAACUGAGACACGGUCCAGACUCCUACGGGAGGCAGCAGUAGGGAAUCUUCCGCAAUGGGCGAAAGCCUGACGGAGCAACGCCGCGUGAGUGAUGAAGGGUUUCGGCUCGUAAAACUCUGUUAUUAGGGAAGAACAAACGUGUAAGUAACUGUGCACGUCUUGACGGUACCUAAUCAGAAAGCCACGGCUAACUACGUGCCAGCAGCCGCGGUAAUACGUAGGUGGCAAGCGUUAUCCGGAAUUAUUGGGCGUAAAGCGCGCGUAGGCGGUUUCUUAAGUCUGAUGUGAAAGCCCACGGCUCAACCGUGGAGGGUCAUUGGAAACUGGGAAACUUGAGUGCAGAAGAGGAAAGUGGAAUUCCAUGUGUAGCGGUGAAAUGCGCAGAGAUAUGGAGGAACACCAGUGGCGAAGGCGACUUUCUGGUCUGUAACUGACGCUGAUGUGCGAAAGCGUGGGGAUCAAACAGGAUUAGAUACCCUGGUAGUCCACGCCGUAAACGAUGAGUGCUAAGUGUUAGGGGGUUUCCGCCCCUUAGUGCUGCAGCUAACGCAUUAAGCACUCCGCCUGGGGAGUACGACCGCAAGGUUGAAACUCAAAGGAAUUGACGGGGACCCGCACAAGCGGUGGAGCAUGUGGUUUAAUUCGAAGCAACGCGAAGAACCUUACCAAAUCUUGACAUCCUUUGAAAACUCUAGAGAUAGAGCCUUCCCCUUCGGGGGACAAAGUGACAGGUGGUGCAUGGUUGUCGUCAGCUCGUGUCGUGAGAUGUUGGGUUAAGUCCCGCAACGAGCGCAACCCUUAAGCUUAGUUGCCAUCAUUAAGUUGGGCACUCUAGGUUGACUGCCGGUGACAAACCGGAGGAAGGUGGGGAUGACGUCAAAUCAUCAUGCCCCUUAUGAUUUGGGCUACACACGUGCUACAAUGGACAAUACAAAGGGCAGCUAAACCGCGAGGUCAUGCAAAUCCCAUAAAGUUGUUCUCAGUUCGGAUUGUAGUCUGCAACUCGACUACAUGAAGCUGGAAUCGCUAGUAAUCGUAGAUCAGCAUGCUACGGUGAAUACGUUCCCGGGUCUUGUACACACCGCCCGUCACACCACGAGAGUUUGUAACACCCGAAGCCGGUGGAGUAACCAUUUA